ACUUGUAAAUGCAUUGGCUGCGUUGUAUGGAAAAUGUCAUAAUCGUACAAUCGAGCCAACAAAAGAGAUAUUAGUAACAGUGGGGGCCUAUGGCUCACUGUUCAACACCAUCAUGGGAUUAGUCAACCCAGGCGAUGAGGUUAUCAUCAUUGAGCCAUUCUUUGAUUGCUAUCAACCAAUGGUGUUAUUGGCUGGUGCAGUGCCAAAGUAUAUUCCUCUGAAACCA
This is a long non-coding RNA of Anneissia japonica, 226 nucleotides long. RefSeq lists it as uncharacterized. NCBI's taxonomy places the organism in Eukaryota, Metazoa, Echinodermata, Crinoidea, Comatulida, Comatulidae. The transcript is spliced from 2 exons. The record is from RefSeq and is a predicted model, not a curated record.